UUAGAUUUGUCUGAAGGUGAUGGAGUGAAGGUGAGAGAGUGGGCAUUGUAAUUAUUACUACAGCUAGUAUUUCUUUAGCAGCGUUCCAGAUGCUAGGUUGGUGUUUUGCUUGCAUUCAUUGAAUUCUAACAACCUGCUAAAGUAAGUAUCAUUGUGUCUUUCAGCGAAACCAAGAAAACUCCUCAUCCGUUUCACCUAAGAGCCAGAUUCUAAGAGCCAGACUAGGUGUCUUGGGUAUACUUUAACUUUUCUGGACCCAAAUUUUCCUGGUUAUAAAGUGAGAUCUAACAUAGAUAACCUGUGUUAAUAACCCUCCCCACUGGGUCCUACCCACAUACAAACAUGGAAGGAGAAUGAUUUUUAAACCAAAAUACAACAAGUCAAUUGCACAAAUGAAUCCACAGAGAUUGUAACAGCAUACACAAAAUCUAGAUAAGAUCAAGCCAGACAAAAACCAAGCACGGAACACAGGAUGAACAUGAAGUCCUAUCCUUCGCUGAAGUGUGCAACCAAGACCACGUUGGAGGAUUCAUGCCCUUAGCACCAGGUUGGGACCACUGAGAUAUCCAACCUUGUGAACCGAGCAGCUGUGGGUUAUCAACCUCUUCAGCAUGGAGAUGGCCAUGUUGGACGACCUAGACCAUAUUGUCAGGUAUGGAGGCUGGCAGGAUUGCCCAAGCAGAAGACAGGAGGAACAACCUGUUGGGGAAAAACCUUUAGAGCAUUUGCUUGUGAGAGCUGUCAUAAGAAAUGCCUUGGUGUCGAAACAACAGAAUCUACUUCCUCAGAGUUUGGGAGUCCAAGACUCAAGAUGGAGGUGUCGGCAGGGUGGGAGUCCUUCUCUCCUGGUUUGUAAACAGUCGUCUUCUUGCUGUGUCCACACAAGCUCUUUCCACGUCAUGUGCUUUUAUUCCUGGUGCCUCUCAGAGUCAAUGUUUCUUUUUCUCAUAAGGGUACCAAUUAAGGAUGACUUAGGGACCCUAAUAGACUCCUUUUCUGUGUUUUGUAAAGAAUAAAUAUAAAUUUUUAUUAUAUUUCUUCACCUACCAUGACAAGCUUCAUUCUUUCAUUUACAAUAAACUAAC
Molecule: small RNA, 1085 nt
Filed under: Rattus norvegicus (Norway rat)
Lineage: Eukaryota; Metazoa; Chordata; Mammalia; Rodentia; Muridae
Description: uncharacterized LOC103692353
Source: RNAcentral